Long non-coding RNA from Pseudophryne corroboree (corroboree frog), 262 nucleotides. RefSeq lists it as uncharacterized. The record is from RefSeq and is a predicted model, not a curated record. The transcript has 2 exons. Lineage: Eukaryota; Metazoa; Chordata; Amphibia; Anura; Myobatrachidae.
CUCUCUGGGGCACAUUACAGUAUAUGGAUCCUCCACCUGUUUAGUGAUCAGUACAAUACAGCAAUAAUCAUAUCUUAGUCAUACUGUCACCAGGCAGUCUACAGCUGACAUGUGUCUCCGUCACUCAACCUCUGAUCAGACCGCGAUGAGCAUAAGUAUUAUCAUUGAAUAUACCCGUAUAGUAUUUGCAUUUAACAGUCAGACAUUUAUUGUUUAUUGUUAAAUUGGCCUAUACAAUAAAAUUCUGCAAUCACUACAAAAA